This 253-nucleotide ribosomal RNA is filed under the name uncultured bacterium. RNAcentral's name for it is "partial 16S ribosomal RNA". It matches the Rfam family "Bacterial small subunit ribosomal RNA", at positions 524 to 776 of the family's 1533-position model. The record is from RNAcentral.
UACGGAGGGUGCAAGCGUUAUCCGGAUUCACUGGGUUUAAAGGGUGCGUAGGCGGGUUGGUAAGUCCGUGGUGAAAUCUCCGAGCUUAACUCGGAAACUGCCGUGGAUACUAUCAGUCUUGAAUAUCGUGGAGGUAAGCGGAAUAUGUCAUGUAGCGGUGAAAUGCUUAGAUAUGACAUAGAACACCAAUUGCGUAGGCAGCUUACUACACGAUCAUUGACGCUGAGGCACGAAAGCGUGGGGAGCAAACAGG